This 69-nucleotide transfer RNA is filed under the name Ictidomys tridecemlineatus (thirteen-lined ground squirrel). Its description in RNAcentral is "Spermophilus tridecemlineatus (thirteen-lined ground squirrel) tRNA". It matches the Rfam family "tRNA". From Rfam's summary of the family: Transfer RNA (tRNA) molecules are approximately 80 nucleotides in length. Their secondary structure includes four short double-helical elements and three loops (D, anti-codon, and T loops). Lineage: Eukaryota; Metazoa; Chordata; Mammalia; Rodentia; Sciuridae. The record is from Rfam by way of RNAcentral.
GGGGUUGUGGCUCAGUGGUAGAGCACUUGCCUAGCAUGUGUGAGAUCCUGGGUUCCAUUCUCAGCACCA